AAAUGCGAUAAGUAAUGUGAAUUGCAGAAUUCAGUGAAUCAUCGAAUCUUUGAACGCACCUUGCGCUCCUUGGUAUUCCUUGGAGCAUGCCUGUUUGAGUAUCAUGAAAUCUUCAAAGUAAAUCUUUUGUUAACUCAAUUGGUUUCUACUUUGGUAUUGGAGGUCUUUGCAGCUCCACACCUGCUCCUCUUUGUUCAUUAGCUGGAUCUCAGUGUUAUGCUUGGUUCCACUCGGCGUGAUAAGUUAUCUAUCGCUGAGGACACUGUAAAAGGUGGCCAAGGUAAAUGCAGAUGAACCGCUUCUAAUAGUCCAUUGACUUGGACAAUACUUUUAUGAUCUGAUCUCAAAUCAGGUAGGACUACCCGCUGAACUUAAGC
RNAcentral lists this unclassified non-coding RNA (377 nucleotides) under plant metagenome. Its description in RNAcentral is "partial contains 5.8S ribosomal RNA, internal transcribed spacer 2, and large subunit ribosomal RNA". The stretch from base 1 to 104 matches the Rfam family "5.8S ribosomal RNA", at positions 51 to 154 of the family's 154-position model. The record is from RNAcentral.